Molecule: ribosomal RNA, 467 nt
Filed under: uncultured bacterium
Lineage: Bacteria
Description: partial 16S ribosomal RNA
Rfam family: Bacterial small subunit ribosomal RNA
Source: RNAcentral
GACGAACGCUGGCGGCGUGCUUAACACAUGCAAGUCGAACGGAAAGGCCUCUUUCGGGGGGUACUCGAGUGGCGAACGGGUGAGUAACACGUGAGUAACCUGCCCUUGACUUUGGGAUAACUUCAGGAAACUGGGGCUAAUACCGGAUAGGAGCUCCUGCUGCAUGGUGGGGGUUGGAAAGUUUCGGCGGUUGGGGAUGGACUCGCGGCUUAUCAGCUUGUUGGUGGGGUAGUGGCUUACCAAGGCUUUGACGGGUAGCCGACCUGAGAGGGUGACCGGCCACAUUGGGACUGAGAUACGGCCCAGACUCCUACGGGAGGCAGCAGUGGGGAAUAGUGCACAAUGGGUGGAAGCCUGAUGCAGCAACGCCGUGUGCGGGAUGACGGCCUUCGGGUUGUAAACCGCUUUCGCUCAUGACGAAGCUUUGUGUGACGGUAGUGGGUAAAGAAGCACCGGCUAACUACGUG